Non-coding RNA from Canis lupus familiaris (dog), 105 nucleotides. The record is from Rfam. Lineage: Eukaryota; Metazoa; Chordata; Mammalia; Carnivora; Canidae.
GUUCACUUUGGCAGCACGUAUACUAAAAUUGGAACAACAUGGAGAAGUUUAGCUUGGCCCCUGCACAAGGAUGACACACAAAUUCAUGAAGCAUUCCAUAUUAUG